GGGAACACAAGCAGGGGAAGUGGGAGAGGAAAAAGCAGGUUCCUAGCGGAGGAGCCUGAUGUGGGGCUCAAUCCCAGAAUGCUGGGAUCACGCCCUGAGCUGAAGGCAGACGCUUAACGACUGCGCCCACCCAGGCGCCCCUGUUUUUUAAAUACUUUUGAAAUAAAAUGUGAAUGAAAGUUCUAGGUGGUUGUACCGUGUGAGCUCACAUACUCAGAUUAAUCUGUGGGCAUAGGUUUGGUCUGACUUAUAAUCAGUGUCUUUUACUAACAGCCUAAGUCACCUACUAGGCUCUGAAAAUUAUUUUCUACCAUCUAGCUUCUUGUGAGGAAUUCUCGAGAAGCCAUGACAUUACAGUCAGCUGUGGUCCUCUGUCUGUCACUCAUCACAGUUCCUUCCAACUUUGCCAUUGAGAACAACAAAAAAAUAGAACACCCCAGGCACUCUCAAGAGAGAUGUUGAAUAAUUUUUAUGAUCACUAAAUCUGGGACCACCAAGAAGCACAGAUUGUAUGUUAGAAUUAAACCUUAAGAGGACCAGUCCAUUCUUGUGGUAUCAAAGAUCCUAAAAGUGAAUGUUCCUUUGUAUUUUAAUAGACACAUGAUUAUUAAUAUACUAAUAUUCAUUAUACAUAUAUAUAUAAUCACUUGGUAAUUAGUCUUAUUAGUGUGGCCUAUAACCAAUUUAGUUUCCUUCUCUACCCUGUCAUAAUUAAACUCCAUAUCCUAGUUGAUAUUUCUGUCUAAUUUCUUCAUCUUUAUAAAAUUAGUGGAUUAGAUUCUAUUCACUUCUAAUGUUAUCCCUAGCUUUGAAAUGUAGGACUGGGCUUAGAAUACAUAUAUGUAUGCAUAACUUUAUUUUCAUUACUUUUAGCCUUGUAAACUUUUAGCCUAAUUACUUUUAGCCUAAUAUUCUUGAUUCCUUUUUUAACACAUUAAAUGUUUUUGUUUGUUUGUUUGUUUGUUUUUAAAGAUUUAAUUUCUUUGACAGUGAGAAAGCCAGAGCACAAGCAGGAGAAGCAGGAGAGGGAGAAGCAGGCUCCCCGCUGACCAGGGAGCUUGACAGGGGGCUUGAUCCCAGGAUGCCCCCCCCAUCAUGACCUAAGCUGAAGGCAGACGCUUAAGCGACUGAGCCACCCAGGUGCCCCACAUUAAAUGUUAAGAAUUACUAACAUCAACUACCUGAAAUAGUGUGCACAAUUCUAUACGUAUAGGCGUUUUUAUAAAUGAGCUGAGCUCUGAUUCGCAUUUCAGAGACAAAACAGUAAAAAAAAUUACAUAUUCAAAAAGAGGUUAGAAUAGGGUUGUGAAGGAUAUCCAGUUAAAUUUAAAUUAGAAAUAAACAAUCUUCAGUAUGUCUAUGCAAUAUUUGGGAUAUAUGUAUCCUAAAAAUUUAUUCAUUGUAUAUGUGAAAUUCUCAUUCAAUUGGGUGACCUAUACUUUCAUUCACUAACACUGACAACCUUCAUUUAGAACUGCUGUACCAGAUGCUUCUCUUCCUCUGUUUCUCCUUAAUUUUUGCCUAAAAUGGUGACAUUUCUUUUAUAUUUCAAAUCAAUUUCACAAUUUCUGAGUUCAAAAUAAAAAAAC
Long non-coding RNA from Ailuropoda melanoleuca (giant panda), 1589 nucleotides. The record is from Ensembl. Lineage: Eukaryota; Metazoa; Chordata; Mammalia; Carnivora; Ursidae.